AUAUGGCUAAAACUUCACAGAAUUGUUCAGAAAUGUGUACUGAAGGGAUACAAACUGCAAAAAAGGUGUAAUCUGACAUUAGCUGAUCUAAUAUGGGACAAGACCCCUUAAGAACCUUGAGAUGAGGAACACAGAUUUUUGACUCUCAUUAAAAAAUUAGUCAGUCAUGCAUAUGUGGGAGCUGUGAUUUUAAAAAUUGACAUAAAUGAACUAGGACUGGUGUUUUAUAGAGCUGAUGUGAUAUGAAAAAAAGUAAACUAAAAUAAACCUGAUCAAAAAAUUACAAAGGACAUAUUUUUUAAUGAUUUUUAUGAUCAGAAUUUUGGGAUUAUUUCCUGUGGAGAGUGACAUUUUUCACUAUCUUUCGGGGUUGGGCACUUGACGGGAAAACGAAUCACACUUGCCACCCCGAAAAUCGCACCACAUAUGUCCAAGUGUCUCAGCUUCAAAACGAGCUAUCAUGCAUAUCCAAGUUCACGAUAUGGCCUGAGCAACAGCAAAAACGUUAACAUUAUGUCCUAUGGAGAAUCUAAUGCGCAUAUAUUGACCCAUCUUGUCACCUUUAAUUUCAAAGGUGAUGGAGUGUUUCAUGGCUCAGUGACUACAAUAUUAGGAUGAAAGCUGCUGAAAUCAAGAGCUACUGCAGCACGAGACUUUUUACCCAUUGUGCAGCCAACAGCUUUUAGAGUUUUAACCACGGCAACAUCUCUAAUAUUAUUUACUUUCAAGACUGCUGCAGAAGCACGACCUAUGGCAUUGCGGGAGAAAUUCUUUUUUUUUGAUAUGGCUAAAACUUCACAGAAUUGUUCAGAAAUGUGUACUGAAGGGAUACAAACUGCAAAAAAGGUGUAAUCUGACAUUAGCUGAUCUAAUAUGGGACAAGACCCCUUAAGAACCUUGAGAUGAGGAACACAGAUUUUUGACUCUCAUUAAAAAAUUAGUCAGUCAUGCAUAUGUGGGAGCUGUGAUUUUAAAAAUUGACAUAAAUGAACUAGGACUGGUGUUUUAUAGAGCUGAUGUGAUAUGAAAAAAAGUGAACUAAAAUAAACCUGAUCAAAAAAUUACAAAGGACAUAUUUUUUAAUGAUUUUUAUGAUCAGAAUUUUGGGAUUAUUUCCUGUGGAGAGUGACAUUUUUCACUAUCUUUCGGGGUUGGGCACUUGACGGGAAAACGAAUCACACUUGCCACCCCGAAAAUCGCACCACAUAUGUCCAAGUGUCUCAGCUUCAAAACGAGCUAUCAUGCAUAUCCAAGUUCACGAUAUGGCCUGAGCAACAGCAAAAACGUUAACAUUAUGUCCUAUGGAGAAUCUAAUGCGCAUAUAUUGACCCAUCUUGUAACCUUUAAUUUCAAAGGUGAUGGAGUGUUUCAUGGCUCAGUGACUACAAUAUUAGGAUGAAAGCUGCUGAAAUCAAGAGCUACUGCAGCACGAGACUUUUUACCCAUUGUGCAGCCAACAGCUUUUAGAGUUUUAACCACGGCAACAUCUCUAAUAUUAUUUACUUUCAAGACUGCUGCAGAAGCACGACCUAUGGCAUUGCGGGAGAAAUUCUUUUUUUUUGAUAUGGCUAAAACUUCACAGAAUUGUUCAGAAAUGUGUACUGAAGGGAUACAAACUGCAAAAAAGGUGUAAUCUGACAUUAGCUGAUCUAAUAUGGGACAAGACCCCUUAAGAACCUUGAGAUGAGGAACACAGAUUUUUGACUCUCAUUAAAAAAUUAGUCAGUCAUGCAUAUGUGGGAGCUGUGAUUUUAAAAAUUGACAUAAAUGAACUAGGACUGGUGUUUUAUAGAGCUGAUGUGAUAUGAAAAAAAGUAAACUAAAAUAAACCUGAUCAAAAAAUUACAAAGGACAUAUUUUUUAAUGAUUUUUAUGAUCAGAAUUUUGGGAUUAUUUCCUGUGGAGAGUGACAUUUUUCACUAUCUUUCGGGGUUGGGCACUUGACGGGAAAACGAAUCACACUUGCCACCCCGAAAAUCGCACCACAUAUGUCCAAGUGUCUCAGCUUCAAAACGAGCUAUCAUGCAUAUCCAAGUUCACGAUAUGGCCUGAGCAACAGCAAAAACGUUAACAUUAUGUCCUAUGGAGAAUCUAAUGCGCAUAUAUUGACCCAUCUUGUAACCUUUAAUUUCAAAGGUGAUGGAGUGUUUCAUGGCUCAGUGACUACAAUAUUAGGAUGAAAGCUGCUGAAAUCAAGAGCUACUGCAGCACGAGACUUUUUACCCAUUGUGCAGCCAACAGCUUUUAGAGUUUUAACCACGGCAACAUCUCUAAUAUUAUUUACUUUCAAGACUGCUGCAGAAGCACGACCUAUGGCAUUGCGGGAGAAAUUCUUUUUUUUUGAUAUGGCUAAAACUUCACAGAAUUGUUCAGAAAUGUGUACUGAAGGGAUACAAACUGCAAAAAAGGUGUAAUCUGACAUUAGCUGAUCUAAUAUGGGACAAGACCCCUUAAGAACCUUGAGAUGAGGAACACAGAUUUUUGACUCUCAUUAAAAAAUUAGUCAGUCAUGCAUAUGUGGGAGCUGUGAUUUUAAAAAUUGACAUAAAUGAACUAGGACUGGUGUUUUAUAGAGCUGAUGUGAUAUGAAAAAAAGUAAACUAAAAUAAACCUGAUCAAAAAAUUACAAAGGACAUAUUUUUUAAUGAUUUUUAUGAUCAGAAUUUUGGGAUUAUUUCCUGUGGAGAGUGACAUUUUUCACUAUCUUUCGGGGUUGGGCACUUGACGGGAAAACGAAUCACACUUGCCACCCCGAAAAUCGCACCACAUAUGUCCAAGUGUCUCAGCUUCAAAACGAGCUAUCAUGCAUAUCCAAGUUCACGAUAUGGCCUGAGCAACAGCAAAAACGUUAACAUUAUGUCCUAUGGAGAAUCUAAUGCGCAUAUAUUGACCCAUCUUGUAACCUUUAAUUUCAAAGGUGAUGGAGUGUUUCAUGGCUCAGUGACUACAAUAUUAGGAUGAAAGCUGCUGAAAUCAAGAGCUACUGCAGCACGAGACUUUUUACCCAUUGUGCAGCCAACAGCUUUUAGAGUUUUAACCACGGCAACAUCUCUAAUAUUAUUUACUUUCAAGACUGCUGCAGAAGCACGACCUAUGGCAUUGCGGGAGAAAUUCUUUUUUUUUGAUAUGGCUAAAACUUCACAGAAUUGUUCAGAAAUGUGUACUGAAGGGAUACAAACUGCAAAAAAGGUGUAAUCUGACAUUAGCUGAUCUAAUAUGGGACAAGACCCCUUAAGAACCUUGAGAUGAGGAACACAGAUUUUUGACUCUCAUUAAAAAAUUAGUCAGUCAUGCAUAUGUGGGAGCUGUGAUUUUAAAAAUUGACAUAAAUGAACUAGGACUGGUGUUUUAUAGAGCUGAUGUGAUAUGAAAAAAAGUAAACUAAAAUAAACCUGAUCAAAAAAUUACAAAGGACAUAUUUUUUAAUGAUUUUUAUGAUCAGAAUUUUGGGAUUAUUUCCUGUGGAGAGUGACAUUUUUCACUAUCUUUCGGGGUUGGGCACUUGACGGGAAAACGAAUCACACUUGCCACCCCGAAAAUCGCACCACAUAUGUCCAAGUGUCUCAGCUUCAAAACGAGCUAUCAUGCAUAUCCAAGUUCACGAUAUGGCCUGAGCAACAGCAAAAACGUUAACAUUAUGUCCUAUGGAGAAUCUAAUGCGCAUAUAUUGACCCAUCUUGUAACCUUUAAUUUCAAAGGUGAUGGAGUGUUUCAUGGCUCAGUGACUACAAUAUUAGGAUGAAAGCUGCUGAAAUCAAGAGCUACUGCAGCACGAGACUUUUUACCCAUUGUGCAGCCAACAGCUUUUAGAGUUUUAACCACGGCAACAUCUCUAAUAUUAUUUACUUUCAAGACUGCUGCAGAAGCACGACCUAUGGCAUUGCGGGAGAAAUUCUUUUUUUUUGAUAUGGCUAAAACUUCACAGAAUUGUUCAGAAAUGUGUACUGAAGGGAUACAAACUGCAAAAAAGGUGUAAUCUGACAUUAGCUGAUCUAAUAUGGGACAAGACCCCUUAAGAACCUUGAGAUGAGGAACACAGAUUUUUGACUCUCAUUAAAAAAUUAGUCAGUCAUGCAUAUGUGGGAGCUGUGAUUUUAAAAAUUGACAUAAAUGAACUAGGACUGGUGUUUUAUAGAGCUGAUGUGAUAUGAAAAAAAGUAAACUAAAAUAAACCUGAUCAAAAAAUUACAAAGGACAUAUUUUUUAAUGAUUUUUAUGAUCAGAAUUUUGGGAUUAUUUCCUGUGGAGAGUGACAUUUUUCACUAUCUUUCGGGGUUGGGCACUUGACGGGAAAACGAAUCACACUUGCCACCCCGAAAAUCGCACCACAUAUGUCCAAGUGUCUCAGCUUCAAAACGAGCUAUCAUGCAUAUCCAAGUUCACGAUAUGGCCUGAGCAACAGCAAAAACGUUAACAUUAUGUCCUAUGGAGAAUCUAAUGCGCAUAUAUUGACCCAUCUUGUAACCUUUAAUUUCAAAGGUGAUGGAGUGUUUCAUGGCUCAGUGACUACAAUAUUAGGAUGAAAGCUGCUGAAAUCAAGAGCUACUGCAGCACGAGACUUUUUACCCAUUGUGCAGCCAACAGCUUUUAGAGUUUUAACCACGGCAACAUCUCUAAUAUUAUUUACUUUCAAGACUGCUGCAGAAGCACGACCUAUGGCAUUGCGGGAGAAAUUCUUUUUUUUUGAUAUGGCUAAAACUUCACAGAAUUGUUCAGAAAUGUGUACUGAAGGGAUACAAACUGCAAAAAAGGUGUAAUCUGACAUUAGCUGAUCUAAUAUGGGACAAGACCCCUUAAGAACCUUGAGAUGAGGAACACAGAUUUUUGACUCUCAUUAAAAAAUUAGUCAGUCAUGCAUAUGUGGGAGCUGUGAUUUUAAAAAUUGACAUAAAUGAACUAGGACUGGUGUUUUA
Molecule: long non-coding RNA, 4913 nt
Organism: Mytilus trossulus (common blue mussel)
Lineage: Eukaryota; Metazoa; Mollusca; Bivalvia; Mytilida; Mytilidae
Exons: 13
Source: RefSeq, a predicted model, not a curated record